This 253-nucleotide ribosomal RNA is filed under the name uncultured bacterium. RNAcentral describes it as "partial 16S ribosomal RNA". It matches the Rfam family "Bacterial small subunit ribosomal RNA", at positions 524 to 776 of the family's 1533-position model. The record is from RNAcentral.
UACGGAGGGUGCGAGCGUUAUCCGGAAUUACUGGGCUUAAAGGGUGCGUAGGCGGCCCUGUAAGUCAGGAGUGAAAGUUUGCGGCUCAACCGUAAAAUUGCUUUUGAUACUGCGGGGCUAGAAUUAGGUUGAGGUCAGCGGAAUGUGGCAUGUAGCGGUGAAAUGCAUAGAUAUGCCAUAGAACACCAAUUGCGAAGGCAGCUGGCUAGACCUGGAUUGACGCUGAGGCACGAAAGCGUGGGGAGCGAACAGG